This 191-nucleotide ribozyme is filed under the name Anopheles gambiae (African malaria mosquito). Its description in RNAcentral is "drz-agam-2-2 ribozyme". It matches the Rfam family "drz-agam-2-2 ribozyme". The record is from Rfam by way of RNAcentral. Lineage: Eukaryota; Metazoa; Arthropoda; Insecta; Diptera; Culicidae.
AGCAAUACCCCGCUGAUACGGGAGUGGAUCCGAAACCUAAUGUAAGGUUAACUAAGACUCUCCACCCCCUACUCCUACUCAAUACGUCCCCGUCGUACAGAACGGUAACACGUCUCUCAAUUAUCCAAGCUUGUUUAUACGAGGAUACCCAACCCCUUGGACGGAUGGUUUGCAUGGCUAAAUUGAGGGGC